AGCAGUAGUAUUGCCACGUUUUAGCCUGAUCUCGUCAGGUCUCAGAAGCCCGGCAAAGCCGGGCCUGGCAGUACUGGGAUGGGAGACUUUCAGUGAGAAUCAGGUUGCCGCUGCCA
RNAcentral lists this ribosomal RNA (116 nucleotides) under Lepisosteus oculatus (spotted gar). The record is from RNAcentral. Lineage: Eukaryota; Metazoa; Chordata; Actinopteri; Semionotiformes; Lepisosteidae.